This 484-nucleotide ribosomal RNA is filed under the name uncultured bacterium. RNAcentral describes it as "partial 16S ribosomal RNA". It matches the Rfam family "Bacterial small subunit ribosomal RNA", at positions 30 to 507 of the family's 1533-position model. The record is from RNAcentral.
AUUGAACGCUGGCGGAAUGCUUUACACAUGCAAGUCGAACGGCAGCACGGGGGCAACCCUGGUGGCGAGUGGCGAACGGGUGAGUAAUACAUCGGAACGUGCCCGGUCGUGGGGGAUAACGUAGCGAAAGUUACGCUAAUACCGCAUACGAUCUGAGGAUGAAAGCGGGGGACCUUCGGGCCUCGCGCGAUCGGAGCGGCCGAUGUCAGAUUAGGUAGUUGGUGGAGUAAAGGCCUACCAAGCCGACGAUCUGUAGCUGGUCUGAGAGGACGACCAGCCACACUGGGACUGAGACACGGCCCAGACUCCUACGGGAGGCAGCAGUGGGGAAUUUUGGACAAUGGGCGCAAGCCUGAUCCAGCCAUUCCGCGUGCAGGACGAAGGCCUUCGGGUUGUAAACUGCUUUUGUAUGGAACGAAAAGGCUCUGGCUAAUACCUGGGGCUCAUGACGGUACCGUAAGAAUAAGCACCGGCUAACUACGUG